UGAUACUGUCAUCACAAAUAUACCCCCUUUUAUUUUGAUACACACGCUUUAAUAGUGUACUGUUAUUUUCAUAAUUAUGAAAAAUGGAACUUGAUGCAAUUAGCCCCAAAAUAUGGCUAAAUAUUGACUAAAGCUGAAAUCAGCUGACAAACCCUUGUACCACUGCUCAUCAAGGUGAUAGCUGAGCUACUAAAUGACAAAAUAUGAAGAAUCACUGUCACAGUCUCACAGAAUUUAUGGGAAAUCCAGCCCAAGUUUUCAUUCAUUCAUUCCUGCCACUAUACACACAGGAUGGAUGUGCCUUUUCUCCACUAGUGUUUUAUUUUUGCACUGCAUUCAUAUUCAUAAAUGAGCCUUUGCUUCCAUACUUUCCCUUCCAUUCAUCAGUGUUAAGUCAAGGGGACAUAUAGCCACCUCUACAACUUGUAAAAUUGCUUGUUAUUUUUUCUUUUAGAUAUCAUAAUAUUAGUGGGUUGUUAAUCAUGUGGUGGAUAAAACCUCUUCAUGGCCUGGAUUUUCAAGCUAGCCUAGUGGACGUGGAAUUCACAUACCUUUCGCCCACAAUAGUCUACUAUUGUUCAUCAAGUCAUUGCACUUGUCUCCUUGUGGAGCAUCUAGGAAGGCUCUUUGAGUGUGGUAAUUAUGUUUCAUUUUUCUGCAGGAAGAACGCAAACAUCUGAUUGGUUGCCAUGGGUUACUGCCCAGGUGCAAGAGCAACAUUCAUGCACUUUGUGCUUCAUGGAAGCUGUACAAGUGGAUAUAAUUGCCACUAAACUUUUGCUGGAUCAAAAAAUCAGGCACUUAGUGCGGAGACAAGUGUCACAUGGAAUCCAAAUUGGAGCACAGAGGCUGGCAGCAAGUUACACAGGGUGGGACCCAGCCUGAAAAGUGCAUUGUAAAUGAGCACAAGGAAGAUGAAUAGAAAAGGUCUAAAUAGAAAGAUAAAUAAUAAAAUGUAACAAUAAGUUGUA
Long non-coding RNA from Xenopus tropicalis (tropical clawed frog), 971 nucleotides. RefSeq lists it as uncharacterized. The transcript is spliced from 2 exons. NCBI's taxonomy places the organism in Eukaryota, Metazoa, Chordata, Amphibia, Anura, Pipidae. The record is from RefSeq and is a predicted model, not a curated record.